GGACUACCGGGGUAUCUAAUCCCGUUUGCUCCCCUGGCUUUCGCGCUGUCAGCGUCAGUGUCGGCCCAGCAACCCGUCUUCACCUCAGGUGUUCCUCUUGAUAUCUACGCAUUUCACCGCUACACCAAGAAUUCCGAUUGCCCCUUCCGCACUCUAGCAACACAGUAUCAGCUGACCGUUCCGAGUUAAGCUCGGAGAUUUCACAGCUGACUUGAAUUGCCGCCUACGCGCCCUUUACGCCCAGUAAAUCCGAACAACGCUUGCUCCCUACGUAUUACCGCGGCGGCUGGCAC
This 293-nucleotide ribosomal RNA is filed under the name uncultured Acidobacteriota bacterium. RNAcentral describes it as "uncultured Acidobacteria bacterium partial 16S ribosomal RNA". Lineage: Bacteria; Pseudomonadati; Acidobacteriota. The record is from RNAcentral.